CGGGCUCGUCUCUAUUGGACAGCCCCCACGGUGAACGUGAGGGCGGUGACCGCGAGAGCAGCGGCGGUCGCACUGGACAAGAGGUGGCCGCGGAAACGCUGGCGGCGACGAAAACUUUGAGCACGGG
Molecule: non-coding RNA, 127 nt
Filed under: uncultured eukaryote
Lineage: Eukaryota
Source: RNAcentral